RNAcentral lists this ribosomal RNA (579 nucleotides) under Microbacterium sp. HRTP080. RNAcentral describes it as "bacterial SSU rRNA". It matches the Rfam family "Bacterial small subunit ribosomal RNA", at positions 102 to 694 of the family's 1533-position model. The record is from RNAcentral. Lineage: Bacteria; Bacillati; Actinomycetota; Actinomycetes; Micrococcales; Microbacteriaceae. RNAcentral also lists the same sequence under 1 other name.
ACGGGUGAGUAACACGUGAGCAACCUACCCCUGACUCUGGGAUAAGCGCUGGAAACGGCGUCUAAUACUGGAUACGAGUGGCGACCGCAUGGUCAGCUACUGGAAAGAUUUAUUGGUUGGGGAUGGGCUCGCGGCCUAUCAGCUUGUUGGUGAGGUAAUGGCUCACCAAGGCGUCGACGGGUAGCCGGCCUGAGAGGGUGACCGGCCACACUGGGACUGAGACACGGCCCAGACUCCUACGGGAGGCAGCAGUGGGGAAUAUUGCACAAUGGGCGCAAGCCUGAUGCAGCAACGCCGCGUGAGGGAUGACGGCCUUCGGGUUGUAAACCUCUUUUAGCAGGGAAGAAGCGAAAGUGACGGUACCUGCAGAAAAAGCGCCGGCUAACUACGUGCCAGCAGCCGCGGUAAUACGUAGGGCGCAAGCGUUAUCCGGAAUUAUUGGGCGUAAAGAGCUCGUAGGCGGUUUGUCGCGUCUGCUGUGAAAUCCGGAGGCUCAACCUCCGGCCUGCAGUGGGUACGGGCAGACUAGAGUGCGGUAGGGGAGAUUGGAAUUCCUGGUGUAGCGGUGGAAUGCGCAGA